RNAcentral lists this transfer RNA (74 nucleotides) under Arsukibacterium tuosuense. Its description in RNAcentral is "Rheinheimera tuosuensis tRNA_Val_GAC". It matches the Rfam family "tRNA". Rfam says of the family: Transfer RNA (tRNA) molecules are approximately 80 nucleotides in length. Their secondary structure includes four short double-helical elements and three loops (D, anti-codon, and T loops). The record is from RNAcentral. Lineage: Bacteria; Pseudomonadati; Pseudomonadota; Gammaproteobacteria; Chromatiales; Chromatiaceae. RNAcentral also lists the same sequence under 2 other names.
GCGUCCUUAGCUCAGCUGGUUAGAGCACUACCUUGACAUGGUAGGGGUCGGUGGUUCGAGUCCACUAGGACGCA